UCUUAAGUGAAUGUAACGUAAACUGUGC
Molecule: small RNA, 28 nt
Filed under: Bombyx mori (domestic silkworm)
Lineage: Eukaryota; Metazoa; Arthropoda; Insecta; Lepidoptera; Bombycidae
Description: ovarian small RNA-30073
Source: RNAcentral